CUCCUGGGAAGUCCUCGUGUUGCACCCCUCUCUUUUUCUUCGCAUUUUUUUUUUCGUUGGGGUUAUCGUUUACGUCGGUCCAGCACGCUCGCUUUGUAGGCUUAGCGCGCCCCAGGCCAAAAACACGAGCCGCGGAUCUCGUUUUGGGUGCUAAAGCGCCGCGGCGACGUCGAAAUCCGCGGAAGCCCCUCGGGUUGCACCUCUCCGGCGUUAAGGUGCAUCGUUGCGUUCGGAUCCUUUUAUAAGAAUUAAACGCGCUUAUGCUGAUGGGUGCGAUCAUACCAACACUAAUGCACCGGA
This 300-nucleotide ribosomal RNA is filed under the name Quercus cerris (Turkey oak). The record is from RNAcentral. Lineage: Eukaryota; Viridiplantae; Streptophyta; Magnoliopsida; Fagales; Fagaceae.